RNAcentral lists this ribosomal RNA (203 nucleotides) under uncultured bacterium. Its description in RNAcentral is "partial 16S ribosomal RNA". It matches the Rfam family "Bacterial small subunit ribosomal RNA", at positions 28 to 233 of the family's 1533-position model. The record is from RNAcentral.
GACGAACGCUGGCGGCGUGCUUAACACAUGCAAGUCGAGCGGUAAGGCCCUUUCGGGGUACACGAGCGGCGAACGGGUGAGUAACACGUGGGUGACCUGCCCUCAGCUCUGGGAUAAGCCUGGGAAACCGGGUCUAAUACUGGAUAUGACUCCAUGACGCAUGUUGUGGGGUGGAAAGCCUUGUGCGGCUGAGGAUGGGCCCG